Molecule: ribosomal RNA, 396 nt
Filed under: uncultured bacterium
Lineage: Bacteria
Description: bacterial SSU rRNA
Rfam family: Bacterial small subunit ribosomal RNA
Source: RNAcentral
GAAUCUUGCACAAUGGGGGAAACCCUGAUGCAGCGACGCCGCGUGAGCGAUGAAGCCCUUCGGGGUGUAAAGCUCUUUCGACGGGAACGAUAAUGACGGUACCCGGAGAAGAAGCUGCGGCUAACUACGUGCCAGCAGCCGCGGUAAUACGUAGGCAGCGAGCGUUGUUCGGAGUUACUGGGCGUAAAGAGUAUGUAGGCGGUUGCGCAAGUUCGGUGUGAAAUCUCCCGGCUUAACUGGGAGGGUGCGCCGAAGACUGCGUGGCUAGAGUGCGGGAGAGGAGAGCGGAAUUCCUGGUGUAGCGGUGAAAUGCGUAGAUAUCAGGAGGAACACCGGUGGUGUAGACGGCUCUCUGGACCGCAACUGACGCUGAGAUACGAAAGCGUGGGGAGCAAA